GACGAACGCUGGCGGCGUGCCUAAUACAUGCAAGUUGAGCGCUGAAGGCUGGUACUUGUACCAACUGGAUGAGCAGCGAACGGGUGAGUAACGCGUGGGGAAUCUGCCUUUGAGCGGGGGACAACAUUUGGAAACGAAUGCUAAUACCGCAUAAAAACUUUAAACACAAGUUUUAAGUUUGAAAGAUGCAAUUGCAUCACUCAAAGAUGAUCCCGCGUUGUAUUAGCUAGUUGGUGAGGUAAAGGCUCACCAAGGCGAUGAUACAUAGCCGACCUGAGAGGGUGAUCGGCCACAUUGGGACUGAGACACGGCCCAAACUCCUACGGGAGGCAGCAGUAGGGAAUCGUCGGCAAUGGACGAAAGUCUGACCGAGCAACGCCGCGUGAGUGAAGAAGGUUUUCGGAUCGUAAAACUCUGUUGGUAGAGAAGAACGUUGGUGAGAGUGGAAAGCGCAUCAAGGGACGGUAACGACCCAGAAAGGGACGGCUAACUACGU
This 496-nucleotide ribosomal RNA is filed under the name uncultured bacterium. Its description in RNAcentral is "partial 16S ribosomal RNA". It matches the Rfam family "Bacterial small subunit ribosomal RNA", at positions 28 to 506 of the family's 1533-position model. The record is from RNAcentral.